This 2073-nucleotide long non-coding RNA is filed under the name Equus caballus (horse). RNAcentral describes it as "lncRNA (ENSECAG00000051183.1)". Lineage: Eukaryota; Metazoa; Chordata; Mammalia; Perissodactyla; Equidae. The record is from RNAcentral.
CACGUUUGUUAACUUAUUUCCUAUUUCUCAAGAUGUCUCUGUUUCUAGCAAUUCACGUGCAGCUGGAGAGGGGGAAUAUUUCUCACAGCCUUGGAGCCAGCCAGCUCAUUCCUCUCCAGGAUGUUGUUGCCUCUCGCACAUGGUAUUCAAGGCGCUUACUUAUUAUUUCCUAAACUCUUCAUUGCACCCAACUGCAGUGAAUUCAGGGCAGGAGACAAAACUCCUUCAGGGGUUAUUAACGGUUCGAGUGGAAAGAGUGAUCCCACUUGCCAAAAAGGACAGGCAAGGACACCCCCUCAGGCCGGAUUAUGGUGGAAAGAAUUUAGCACUUGUUGAGCGGAGACCUGGCUCCUGGGAACUCUUCUCGGCUGUGUGACCUUUGAUGAGACUCUUAACCUCUCUGAGCCUUGGUCCUUUGUUUGAGGCUGUGUUUACUUUCAGCCUGUUCCACUUUUUUUUUUCAUGGUAAACCUUUCCACUUUUAAGAUGAAAUCCUUAGCAGACUUUGCUCUAGCAUCAGCUUGUCCUAAUUUUUAUGCUUUGGAUUAUUAGCAAACAUUAUGGUCCUUAGAAACUGUACUGCAGAUAUCCGGGAAGGCCAGAUGUUUUUGGAAGGUAUAAACCGAAGUGUAAGGAAGGUGCCAUCCUUCAGGUCCUGGAAUCAGAAUGUGAGAAGAGAGAUGGGGGAGUGCAUCUCAGGACGAGAAAAGGGAAGGGAGGCAGCUGCAGAGAGCAAGUUGCCUCGUUCACGGCUUGCCUAGAGCCAGCUCUGUUAGCAAUAACCCCCCAACUAGAAGACCUUUAAAAAUUCCUUUGGCUUCCAACAUCUGGUUGAGCCAACUGCACUGCAACACAGAGUCUGCUUGAUGAGGCUGCCCUAAGCCCCCCGCUUUUCUCUGUCAGCUCCCUUACCGGUCUGGCUUUGUAAAAGCUCUUUGGGGGUGUUCAACUAGCUAGUGACAGAUCUGGAGAUUUCACCACUUUUAGGGCCCGUGCUUUGCUUGGCGGGAUAAAGAGAUCCUUCUGCUGUCACUCAUCUGAUCCAACUUGUCUUCCGACCGUCACAUCCCCCAGGUCACAAUGAAAAGGCGGAUUAGCCUGAUUCUGGAGGCCCGUCAGCUUGAUGCUCUUGGUUAAAUGACACCCGCUACGAACCACAGAGCGGAGCUUUGCGGGCAUGGCGUAACAAAGGGUGCCAUGUCCCUACCUGGGAUCUGAACUGGCGAACCCUGGGCCGCCGAAGCGGAACCUGUGUGCUUAACCGCUGCACCACCGGGCCAGGCCCCUUCUGGAAGUUCUUUGUGGAAGUUUUUUUCUAGCUCUUUCCCUUUUUCUCUUAUUACAUUCACACCCCAAGUUUGUCGGAAGACGGCGCUCUCGAGGAUGGAGGAACUCCUGGACCUCCACUUCCAACUCGUCUCUGGAGGUUUGUCUUCUCUCACGGGGCUGUUUACAGCUGUCGGCACCCACCAGCCCCGCCCCUGGGCUCUGCUCCUUGAUUGCCACCAGGAGACACAGCUCUUCCCCUAAAGCAGAGCUGAGACCAGGCUGGUGUGAUUUAGAUCUCGCCGCAGGUUUGCAGGGGACCAUGAAGGGGCUUACAUACAGAGUUACUCACUCUGGGUGGCCAGCUGUGACUGCAGCUGGAGCAGCUGUUUCUGGUGUCUCUUUGCAGCCCUUGGCUGGCAGCCCUAGUCAAAGACAAUUUCUCGCAUCUCCUAACCCAGGCGCACCCCCAGAGUCUCCGCAUUACUUAGAGUCCAGCCCAAGAGAGCAACGUGCACAAAGAAGAACAACGUCCCUGCCUCUUAUCUCAGACCUGCCUACAGAGUUUUAAUAAGGUCCUGUUCUAGGACUACGUACACUCUACACCGCCACUCAGAGCAGUGCGGUCUCACGCUGUGGUCUGAUGAGGGAAUCUAGUCAGAACACAGUUACCCAAUGGCCUCCCUCGUGGACAUUUGCAAGAAACCUUCCGCCACAGCUUCGUGAUGUCCUGUCCUGCCCCUCAGGGCGCUCACACAUCAGCUUGAGCCGCUUGUUAAAUGCAGAUUGCUAAGGUUUUUGCUCCUG